CCCUACUGCUAUCGGGAUGGGGCUAAGACAUGUUAGUCGCGCGCCUUCUAGCCAUGUUGGAGGCGCGGCAUACCGCUCAGUAGCACGUGGCUAACCUACCCUUGGGACGGAAACAUCCCCGGGAAACUGGGGCUAAUUUCCGAUAGGCGAAGCUCCCUGGAAUGGGUUUUUACCUAAAGGGCGCUUGGAUCAUGCUUCUAGGCGUUGCCCAAGGACGGGGCCGCGGCCGAUCAGGUUGUUGGUGAGGUAACGGCUCACCAAGCCUAUAACCGGUGCGGGCCGUGGGAGCGGAAGCCCGGAGAUGGGCACUGAGACAAGGGCCCAGGCCCUACGGGGCGCAGCAGUCGCGCAAACUUCACAAUAAGCGAAAGCUUGAUGGGGCCAUCCCGAGUGUCAUCCGCUGAGGAUGGCUUUUAUCCAGUAUAGAUAGCUGGAGGAAUACGGAGAGGGCAAGUCUGGUGUCAGCCGCCGCGGUAAUACCAGCUCUCCGAGUGGUGGGG
RNAcentral lists this ribosomal RNA (500 nucleotides) under uncultured archaeon. RNAcentral's name for it is "bacterial SSU rRNA". It matches the Rfam family "Archaeal small subunit ribosomal RNA", at positions 22 to 496 of the family's 1478-position model. The record is from RNAcentral.